Molecule: ribosomal RNA, 467 nt
Filed under: uncultured bacterium
Lineage: Bacteria
Description: partial 16S ribosomal RNA
Rfam family: Bacterial small subunit ribosomal RNA
Source: RNAcentral
GACGAACGCUGGCGGCGUGCUUAACACAUGCAAGUCGAACGGAAAGGCCUGCUUUUGUGGGGUGCUCGAGUGGCGAACGGGUGAGUAACACGUGAGUAACCUGCCCUUGACUUUGGGAUAACUUCAGGAAAUUGGGGCUAAUACCGGAUAGGAGCUCCUGCUGCAUGGUGGGGGUUGGAAAGUUUCGGCGGUUGGGGAUGGACUCGCGGCUUAUCAGCUUGUUGGUGGGGUAGUGGCUUACCAAGGCUUUGACGGGUAGCCGGCCUGAGAGGGUGACCGGCCACAUUGGGACUGAGAUACGGCCCAGACUCCUACGGGAGGCAGCAGUGGGGAAUAUUGCACAAUGGGCGGAAGCCUGAUGCAGCAACGCCGCGUGCGGGAUGACGGCCUUCGGGUUGUAAACCGCUUUCGCCUGUGACGAAGCGUGAGUGACGGUAAUAGGUAAAGAAGCACCGGCUAACUACGUG